Molecule: ribosomal RNA, 292 nt
Filed under: uncultured bacterium
Lineage: Bacteria
Description: partial 16S ribosomal RNA
Source: RNAcentral
GGACUACAAGGGUUUCUAAUCCUGUUUGCUCCCCACGCUUUCGCGCCUCAGCGUCAGUACCGGACCAGGUCGCCGCCUUCGCCACCGGUGUUCUUCCCAAUAUCUACGAAUUUCACCUCUACACUGGGAAUUCCACGACCCUCUUCCGAACUCAAGACAACAUGUAUCAAGCGCAGCCCCCAGGUUGAGCCCGGGAAUUUCACGCCUGACUGUGUCAUCCGCCUACGCGCCCUUUACGCCCAGUCAUUCCGAGCAACGCUAGCCCCCUUCGUAUUACCGCGGCGGCUGGCAC